This 4838-nucleotide long non-coding RNA is filed under the name Homo sapiens (human). RNAcentral's name for it is "HSALNT0379800". The record is from RNAcentral. Lineage: Eukaryota; Metazoa; Chordata; Mammalia; Primates; Hominidae.
AAGCGCGGGUGGCGGGGGUCGGGAGAGGCGUCAGGAUCCCUGGCGCCGCCUGAGCCAGCGGCUGCUAGGAGGCUGUGUCCGCAAGCCAGCGGGGCGAGGCGGCUGGGCCCUGCGCGUCAGGUCCCGGCCUGGGGCACCGGGGCUGCCAGCGUCGGAGGAGGCCUGAGAACUGGGAGGAAGCUGGAGAAAAGAUGCCCUCUGAAUCUUUGUGUUUGGCUGCCCAGGCUCGCCUUGACACCGAAUGGUUGAAAACAGAUAUACAGAUGAUAGUGUCGAACCAAGUGGAACAAAGAAAGAAGAUCUGAAUGACAAAGAGAAAAAAGAUGAAGACGAAACUCCUGCACCUGUAUAUAGGGCCAAGUCAAUUCUGGAGACCUGGGUGUGGGUCAAGCAACCAGGAAACGGAAGCCCAAAGAGGAGGGGAGCUUACAGCAGGCCCUGGACUAGGGAUUAACACAAAAACAACAGCAACAAAUCUGAUUUAAGCUUCACACAUGAGACCGGCCAGCCAAGACUCACAUCCUCAGGCGAGUGGCAGCCCCCCGAAGUGGUUGUCUCAGGGUUAGUGCCAUGAUUUAUUUUCUUCUUUUUGGUGUCGGUUGCUCCGGUACCAACACCAGCAAUGUUCCACUGACGAUAGUCUGUGAACUGUGGAAAAGAGGAGCAGUGAUACUCAUGAGAACUACAAGCUCCUACAGUCACUUUACAGUUUAUACAAAAUACUCUCAUAGACGAUCUGAUUUAAUGCCACCAACGACUGUACGAGGUGUUGUCGCAAUCACUUAGUGACUGAGAGGGAUUGAUACCAUGGCUAAAAGAAAGGCAAUAAUGGAACUGAAACUCAGUCUUCUGACUCUGAGCUCUGGGGUGUUGCCACAAAUCAGCAGCUGCCAGAGACCAAAACCAGAGGCAGAGGUAGGAAAGUAAAAAGUAGGCAGGAAGGUGUACACUGUGUGGUUUACAGUCGUACAUCCUCUUAGAGUUAUGUAUCCUCAGGGCAGAAGGCAGCCUUUCUGUUAAAUGUGGGAAUUAAACAGAAAGAGGACAACCCAAGCUGCAUUUCAGAGAGAAGUCUUGUAUACUCUUUGAAAUCUAUGUGCCUAUCAUCCCUAAGAACAUUAAUGUUUUGUCUCUCCCACGAGAAUCAAGGGAAACUGAUGCUUCAGAAAGAUGCCCCAUCUGUAUCCUGUGGCACUCAAAGUACCCCAGGUUGAGAUGAGAUGAGGAAGAUUCAAGUUGUCAAGUCCAGUUUCCCAAGAUCUCUUGCACAGAAGAUGAGCAAAUCUCACUUCAAAGAUCACUGACUGAUGGGCACUCUGGUCCCAGAACCAUGGAGAAUUCAAAUAUGAGGUGGAUAACUUAGAAAAAACUGUUAAAGUCUCUCUGGAGAGUAGAAGCCUGGGAGAAAACCAAACCAAACCCAUUCUCCCAUCAGUGCUGCGCCCAAGUUGCCUCUUUGAGAUUGGCGUGGGGUCACAGGGUUGGGACCCAGGUACUUGGAGACGUGAGCCCAAAGAGCCCAGGGAAGUCAGGCUUGGGGCAGUGGUAGGUGAGGGCUGAGUAUGGAGUGGGGAGCCCCAGGAGUCACCUGCCCAAAGUCACCCUGGGGUGACUGGUGAGGGCAGGUGCUGGGGCAUCCAGUUCCUUGGAAACGUGAGCCCGAAGGGCCCAGGGAGAUCCGUUUUUGGACAAUAGGAGGUGAGGGCAGAGUACCAAGCAGGGAGCCCCACGAGUCACCGGCUGAAAGUCACCCUGGGGUGACCGGUGAGGGCAGCGGCCGGACUGCUGAGGGGUUGGGGCUGACACAAGAUUUUGGUUGGGGGAGCCCAGAGGCACUGGGGGGGCCCAGCCCUGUGUGCCUCUGGAGUGACACGGAUUCUGGCAGCUGUUCUGCCAUCAGAGGGGACCUGGGGCUGGGUUGGGGUUGGGGUGCUGCAAUCCGAUGCAUUUUACCUUUCUCUUGGCCCCAGCCAAUUUUCUGUGUCAGGUUUUUUCUGACAUCAUGGGGUGGGGAGGGAGGUGGGGUUGGGGCCACAUUGGCGUGAUCCAGGCGAGGACAGUGAUAUGCCUCCAGUCACGUACCACGCAGCUAUGUGACUGAGCCACAGGAGGUGUCACCAGGGUCUCACUAGAAUGCAGAAAAGGGGCGUGGCCUUAAUGAUCCAAGCCCAUUGGUCAAUGAGAAAGAUGAAAGGGAAAGGAGGCGGGGCCAGGCAGCUGCGUGUCAUGAAGGUCCUGUGAUGUCACAAGGAAAGCUGCCCAUGCAACUGCUGUCCCCGCCCACUCUGGGAGAGAGGCGGGGCUGGCUUUCACUUUCUAAACUUUAAAACUUUAUCACCUUAAUUGAGGUACAAAUCCUGUUGUAAUGGAAAAUUUACAGCGUGUUUAAUGAUUAGUAAAGCAGAUUAUAUUAUCCAACAUUCCAAUAAGAUAAAAUAAUCACAGUGAUUUCUCUUUUUUGGAAAAAGUUUCUCUUAUUCUCCUACAUUAUUGUUAAGUUUUUUUUUUUUAAACUAGAGACAUGUCUAAUAUAUUUAAAAACACAAAGCUUUUGAGGUGGGCGUGGUGGCUCAUGCCUGUAAUCCCAGCACGUUGGUAGGCUGAGAUGGGCAUAUCACCUGAGAUCAGGAGUCAAGACCAAAAUUUUAGUAUUUUAGUGUGUAUUUUAGUAUUUAUUUUAGUAUUUAAUACAUCAUUUAGGGCUACAUGUAGCCACAGAAAGAAUAAAUCUGAUUCAGUGACUUAAAGAAAUAUAGAUUUCAUUUUUGUCACUUAAAAUGUUCAGAGGAAGGCAGUCCAGGGUUCUUUUCAGUUUCCUGAUACUUUCUUAGCCAGGUUUUUAUUCUUGUGGUUAAAAUAUGGCUGCUGUUUUUCCAGGCCUUGGAUUGCCUUCCAAGGAGGGAAAGAAGAAAGGUCAGAAGGCUGAGUUUCUCUCUUUUUAGCUGAAAAACAUAGAUUUCUCAAAAGUUGUAAGAUUAUACUGCAAUUCAAUUUUCAUUCCUUUUUUUUUUUUUUUUUUGAAACGCAGUCUUGCUCUGUUGCCAGGCUGGAGUACAGUGGCACAAUCUCGGCUCACUGUCACAAUGUCCGCCUCCAUGGUUCAAGCGAUUCUCCUGCCUCAGCCUCCCUAAUAGCUAGGAAUACAGGCGCAUGACACCACGCCCGGCUCAUUUCUUUUUGUAUUUUUAGUAGAGACGAGAUUUCACCAUGUUGGCCAGGCUGGUUUUGAACUCCAGACCUUGUGAUCCGCCCGCCUCUGCCUCCCAAAGUGCUAGGAUUAGAGGCGUGAGCCACCGCGCCUGGCCUGCAAUUUUCAUCUUUUGGCUGCAAAUAAGUUAUGUCACUAUUCUCAGCUGGGGGAGUGUUUAACUCACAUGUUGCUUCCUCUCUGUUAGACAGGUUUUAAGAUUUAUGAAUAGGUACUGAAUUGUAUCAAUUGCUUUUUUCUUUCUUGAUUGAGCAAUGUUUUUUCUUAUCUUUUUAUGUUGAUAAGGUAACUUAACAGUGAUUGGCUUUUGAAUGUUGAACAUUGCAUUUCUGGAAUUAAAUCAACUUUGUUGUGAUAAAUGAUUAAUACCAUAUUAUGUAUGGUUGAGAUGGGCUUGCUCCUAGUUCAUUUGGUAGUUUUGUACUUAUGUUCACAAGAGAAAGUGGAGUCUAAUUUUUUUUUUUCUGGUGAUUUUUGUUCGUUUGUUUGUUUGUUUGUUUGUUUGUUUUUGCCAUGGAGUCUGGCUCUGUUAUCCAGGCUGGAAUGCAGUGGCGUGAUCUCAACUCAUUGCAAGCUCCACCUUCUGGGUUCAUGCCAUUCUCCUGCUUCAGCCUCCUGAGUAGCUGGGACUACAGGCGCCCAACACCACACCUGGCUAAUUUAUUGUAUUUUUUAGUAGAGACGGGGUUUCACCUUGUUAGCCAGGAUGGUCUCGAUCUCCUGACCUCGUGAUCCACCCGCCUCGGCCUCCCAAAGUGCUGGGAUUACAGGCUUGAGCCACCACGCCCAGACUUGUGAGGUUUUAAUAUGAAGUAUUAAAGCUAUGCUGGUUAGACAAUUUGGAAAAUGUUUCUUCUCCUAUUUCUGACAGAGUUUAUGUAAGAUGUGUGCUAUUUCUUCCUUAAGCAUUUGGAAAGAAUUCACUUAUUAAGCCAUGUGAGACUGUAGUUUUCUUUAUAAGGUGUUUAACUACAGGUUCAAUUACAUAUAUAUAAAUAUUCAUUUUGGUAACCUGUGUUUGCUGAAUCAAUUUGUUCAUUUUAUCGAAAAUUUCAAAGUUAUUCUAUUAUUCAUUUAUCUUUUUAAUACUUAUAAAGUCUCCGGUUAGAGUUUGUGCCUUUUGUCUGUUUUGUUAAUCAAUCUUGCUGGAGGCCAUCAAUUUUAUUAGUGUUUCAAAAAAGCAAACUUUGAUUUUAUUCAUCCCUUUACCAUACUGAAAAUGUUUUGCUUAAUUUCCAAACUUAUAGUUCCACUGUGAUUAAAUAUUUGUAUAACUAAAACUCUGUGGAAUUUGUGUCUUCUCAAUGAUUGAAAAUAUGAUUAAUUUUUAUAAAUAUUGCUUCUGCACUUGAAAAGGAUAUGUAUUCUGCAUGUUGAGCGUAGUGUACCACGUAUCUCAGUUAGGUCCAGUGUGUUAAAUGCAUCCUUUAAAGAUUCUAUGUGCUUACUGAUGUUUGUUUAUUUUUCAGUGGCUGAGACACAGAUAUUAAAGUUUCCCACAAUGAUCAUCAACUUAUUUCUUUUUUUUCAUUUGUUAAGCUUGUUCUGUGUGUUUUAAGGUUAAGUUACCAGGCAUAAACACAUUUAGAAUUCCUUUUUCUCCCUUCUGGUUGCACCCUUUUAUCAUGAG